This 231-nucleotide unclassified non-coding RNA is filed under the name fungal sp. RNAcentral describes it as "partial internal transcribed spacer region". The stretch from base 1 to 46 matches the Rfam family "Eukaryotic small subunit ribosomal RNA", at positions 1786 to 1831 of the family's 1831-position model. The record is from RNAcentral. Lineage: Eukaryota; Fungi.
AAGUCGUAACAAGGUUUCCGUAGGUGAACCUGCGGAAGGAUCAUUCUCGAUUAAAUAGCGUAAGCUAUCAAUAUUCACAUUGUGCACUGUUACUGCGCCAUUUGGUGGCUGCAAAGCCACCGGGUGAUUUGCGCUUAUUGUUCAUCAUAUAUAUAUACUUGAAAAACCACAAAUUUAUACAAAAAAAUUUUAAAAUUACGACAACUUUUAGCAAUGGAUCUCUAGGCUCUC